Molecule: long non-coding RNA, 733 nt
Organism: Xenia sp. Carnegie-2017
Lineage: Eukaryota; Metazoa; Cnidaria; Anthozoa; Malacalcyonacea; Xeniidae
Exons: 4
Source: RefSeq, a predicted model, not a curated record
AAUUCCAGUGCCACAUCUUCCUCUAUGGUUUGUCAAAACUACACAUUAUUAUUCCCAAUUGCUAAUUAUUGCUCUAACUAGUAAAUCAAAUGAAUACAAUAUUUGUCACAUUAUCACUGUCUUGAGAAAUUACAUUUUUAUUGUCUUUCACAUGUAUAAAUAUUGUGCUUUAGCACAUGUUUCUUUUGCUGGAAACUCUUUAAGACAAAAUUUCUUUCCUUAAGAAUUUUAAAAUGAAACGAAUGAACUAAAGACUGCUGAAUCUUAUGGCAAAGACAGUGAAUAUUCUGAAGAUGUGAAUCAUGAGCGCCGACGACGACGUUGAUAACCUUGAUCAACAAGAAUUAGACAGUGUUUUAUGUACUAAAGAAGUUGCGACCGAUUGUUGAAAUUCAUAUUCCAUUGGAAUCCUACAGUGGCAGUACGGCUCUACGAACGAACGAUUUGUCUCUGAAUCUAGACAGUAAAUAUCAAUAUGCUGCCCUGUUGAAGUGCUAGAAAUCCUACGGAGAGGAAUCAAAUCAAGUUAAUGAUACCAAUUCACUCCAGGAAACAAAUCAAGAUGAACUAAAUGGACUUGAAUUAAUAGACCUUGAGGUCAGUAAUCUCUUUGAGGACAGCAGACAGAAUAUGGACUAUCAUCUUGAUUUUAUGUCGGUUCCUCCAGAACUUUGAUUACUGUAAUUUGUUAUGGCAUGUCGAAAUACAAUUUGUCUUUUUACAACCAUUGAAA